Molecule: ribosomal RNA, 403 nt
Filed under: uncultured bacterium
Lineage: Bacteria
Description: bacterial SSU rRNA
Rfam family: Bacterial small subunit ribosomal RNA
Source: RNAcentral
GGGGGAUAUUGCACAAUGGGCGAAAGCCUGAUGCAGCAACGCCGCGUGAGGGAAGAAGGUCUUCGGAUUGUAAACUUUUGUCUUAUGGGACGAAACAAAUGACGGUACCAUAGGAGGAAGCCACGGCUAACUACGUGCCAGCAGCCGCGGUAAUACGUAGGUGGCGAGCGUUGUCCGGAAUUACUGGGUGUAAAGGGCGUGUAGGCGGCAUAUUAAGUCAGAUGUGAAAUUCCCGGGCUUAACUCGGGCGCUGCAUUUGAAACUGAUGUGCUUGAGUGCAGGAGAGGAAAGCGGAAUUCCUAGUGUAGCGGUGAAAUGCGUAGAUAUUAGGAGGAACACCAGUGGCGAAGGCGGCUUUCUGGACUGUAACUGACGCUGAUACGCGAAAGCGUGGGGAGCAAAC